Macaca mulatta (Rhesus monkey) is the source of this 1785-nucleotide long non-coding RNA. NCBI's taxonomy places the organism in Eukaryota, Metazoa, Chordata, Mammalia, Primates, Cercopithecidae. The record is from Ensembl.
UUUCUCAGCUUCUCUUCUUGGAUCCAUGACUCAAGCCCUGAAUAAUUUUUCACUCUUCAGAAACCAGUCAGAAAUAUGCCUCUGCCUACUCUGCCCAAUUAUGUCAAGAAAUGAAGAAAGAAAAAGAAGGGGGAUAGUGGUGGAGGAAUUUUAAAUAUAAGCAUUGUGAAGGUUACUUCUAAAGGAGUAAUUUGGCUGAAUACCGCAAAUCAAUUAUCCUGGAGUGGCUGCUGGAACCUUCAAAGAUAUACAAGAUGUUCUAUUUUUCAAGUUUUCUGUGGAAUCAAGAGAAUUAAAGCUUAAUUCUCUGGAUACCUGAAAAAAGAAGACACAGAAAGCUUCAAAUCUAAUAAUGUCUAGUACAAAUUAAGUCUUGUGUAAGUGUUUAAAUGGACCAGUGUGGUUUUUUGUGUUAUGUGUUUCAGCUAAUUUAUUUUUUUAAAUCACAGUAUAUAUUUGUCUGUCUACUAAGAGUAGAUAAGUGUAUGAGACUCUGGGCAUACAAAGAUUCCAUUCUUACCUGGAAGAGUUUACCUUCCAAAGGCAUGGCGGGUGUGGCAGAUUCCCAACCAAAACUCACAAAAGAACUCAACAGCCCAGAGAGAGAGGUAAACAGUGUGCUCCACUUCCUUAAGGAAGUGAAUGUCUAAAGAAGUGCUAUAGAUGUUUUAUUUAUAAAACAUGAAGAUAAAUAAAACGUUUUCAGAGAAAGGCAAAAAAAUCAAAUAGAGUGAACUAAGUACUGAAUAUAUAGAACAAUGGUGAAAACUUAUGCAACAUAUAUUCUUAGAUCUCCUAUCACGUGGAGAGUAUCAUGAGUAAAAGAUUUUAAGCUUGAGAGUUACAUGUUUAUAUUUAUAUUAAAAAAAUCACUUUGGCAAAAGUCUACAGGAUAAUAAACCUGGAUAUAUCCUUCCAGACAUGCAUGUAACCUUUCAUUCAUUAAUUUACCCUUUUAUAUAUGUAUGCAAAGCAUAUGCUUUUAAUACCUUUCAUGUGUAGAUCAGUGUAAAACGUGAUGAAAAUACAAUAGAAAAACAAAAUAAGCAUUAAUUCUUUCCCUAUAGACACUUCUUUUUUUUCUCUUUCUCUUCCUUUCUUUCACUCAGCUUGAGAAAUGUCAGAGACUGAGAGUGAGCAAACAGAUAAUAAAUAAAAUAAUCUAAUAGAUGAAUAUAGUGAAUUGUAGAAAAAAUAUGAUGGUUUGCAUUAGAUAUGUAGGAGUAGCAUUGGAGAAUCAUGGAUAUAUUGGUUAUGUACUUUGGAGAUAGAGUUUUUGUGGGAACAUGGAGACAGACUGGAAGUAAGAAGCCAGACAUAAUCAACUACAUAUUGUAUAAUUCAGUUCAUAUAAAAUGUCUAGAAUAGAAAAACUGUAGAGACAGAAAGGAGAUUAGUGAUUUUCAGUGGCUGUGGGAAGGGGGAAAUAGAGUUUGACUGCUAAUGGAUAUGGCAUUUUGGGGAUAAUUCAUAAAAUGUUCAAAACUUAGAUGAUGAUUAUGAAUACUCAACUCUGAUUAUAUGAAAAACCAUGGCAUUGUACACUUUUAAAAGGUGAAUUUUAUGAUAUGUUAAUUGUAUCUCCAUAAAACUGUUAUACAAUGUAGAAAUCUUAAAUAGUUUUAAUAUUUGAAUGCAACAUUUUAAGAACAGUGUAGUCAUUAUAUGUGUCUUGAUUUUUCAGCAAUGUCACCAAAUGGUUUUUAGGGAAAAUCUAUGUGGCUUUAAUAUAGUUCUACUAUAAGUGUUCUUUUUGUUAUUUUUUUUCCAAACAGAUUCCUUUAA